CAGCAGCCGCGGGAAUACGUAGGUCCCGAGCGUUGUCCGGAUUUAUUGGGCGUAAAGCGAGCGCAGGCGGUUAGAUAAGUCUGAAGUUAAAGGCUGUGGCUUAACCAUAGUACGCUUUGGAAACUGUUUAACUUGAGUGCAAGAGGGGAGAGUGGAAUUCCAUGUGUAGCGGUGAAAUGCGUAGAUAUAUGGAGGAACACCGGUGGCGAAAGCGGCUCUCUGGCUUGUAACUGACGCUGAGGCUCGAAAGCGUGGGGAGCAAACAGGAUUAGAUACCCGGGUAGUCCCUGUCUCUUAUACA
Molecule: ribosomal RNA, 301 nt
Filed under: uncultured bacterium
Lineage: Bacteria
Description: partial 16S ribosomal RNA
Rfam family: Bacterial small subunit ribosomal RNA
Source: RNAcentral